UUGCUCUGGUGGAUUAGUGGCGAACGGGUGAGUAACACGUGAGUAACCUGCCCUUGACUCUGGGAUAAGCGUUGGAAACGACGUCUAAUACCGGAUACGAGCUGGGACCGCAUGGUCACUAGCUGGAAAGAAUUUCGGUCAAGGAUGGACUCGCGGCCUAUCAGUUAGUUGGUGAGGUAACGGCUCACCAAGACGACGACGGGUAGCCGGCCUGAGAGGGUGACCGGCCACACUGGGACUGAGACACGGCCCAGACUCCUACGGGAGGCAGCAGUGGGGAAUAUUGCACAAUGGGCGAAAGCCUGAUGCAGCAACGCCGCGUGAGGGACGACGGCCUUCGGGUUGUAAACCUCUUUUAGCAGGGAAGAAGCGAAAGUGACGGUACCUGCAGAAAAAGCACCGGCUAACUACGUGCCAGCAGCCGCGGUAAUACGUAGGGUGCAAGCGUUGUCCGGAAUUAUUGGGCGUAAAGAGCUCGUAGGCGGUUUGUCGCGUCUGCUGUGAAAACGCGAGGCUCAACCUCGCGCCUGCAGUGGGUACGGGCAAACUAGAGUGCGGUAGGGGAGAUUGGAAUUCCUGGUGUAGCGGUGGAAUG
This 595-nucleotide ribosomal RNA is filed under the name bacterium SL3.31. Its description in RNAcentral is "bacterial SSU rRNA". It matches the Rfam family "Bacterial small subunit ribosomal RNA", at positions 79 to 688 of the family's 1533-position model. The record is from RNAcentral.